GGCGGAUGCCCCUCUCUCAGCCAGACUGCCACCUCGCAGUUCGAUCUUGGCCUGCUGCUCUAGCAGUGAGCAAGGCUCAUCCACGGAUUUAUUUCUGGGACUGCAGUGACCAGCAAAUGUAUCUACUUGCCAGAUGUCAAGCUGGAACUCAGAGAAUACACCAUCUUUUGAGAAGAAGGAGCCCUGUGCUGUGACAGAGUAUCGAGAGAAAUUCAGAGAACCUCAGGAGGAAGUGCGAGAGCAAAUGAGGCAAGAACUGGAGUGCUCAAGGGCUGGAAUCAGCUGGCAUCUUUGGCACCCACAGAAACAAACUCCAUUCACUUGGACCCGCUGUGUUUCACCCUUCACGGGAGGAAGCACACAGGUGUGUUAGAAAUGGGGUCUGAAGUACGGCUGCUAACAACUCCCAUGAGCAGAGUGAACAAGCAAGAGACCUGCUGGACCCACUGUGUCCUUUGAACUCUCAGAGCAGUUGGGAAUUGUGAGUCAUUGAGAGUAAUACUGUGAAGUUCAGGAUAGAGAAGAGAUCAAUUAUAAAUCCCCAAAUGAGGUUCCUUCCUGCGUCUAUGGUUGUCUUCGGGUGGGCUAAGCAUUUCUGCUGUUCUUGGUAAGCAUUUUAUUCCUCUUGUGCAAAUAUAAAAAGGAAAGAAUCUUCUGUGCCCUGAGUCCAAAUGAAAAUCUCAAGCAACAAAAAAGCGAAGUGAUUGGGAAAAUAAAAUCAUUUUGGACUGAUCCCAACAGCAUUUCAGUUUCAUUAGUGUUCUAUUAAUUUAAUACUAUAACCAGAUUUCAAGUUCUGACAAAGUUCUGUAUUGCAGAUCUCAGUAUUAGGUUAAUGUAUGAAUUGUACUGCACUACACAUAAAAAUGAUGUAAAUGUGAAUGUAUAAGAAUAGCCUGACAAUUUGAAAAGUCUUUGUAAUAUUUUCAGAAAAUAUCCUAGAUAGGCUAUAAUUGAAUUAUUUGAUUUUUACAAAUUACUUUGUAUUAUGGAAACAAAUGGUAGUUUUCUCAAGCCUUAACACCAUUGAGGAUAUUUAUGUAUGUCUGUUUAACAAAUAGAAAAUGGUUUGUAAUUCACCCCAAUGAUUGAUAUGAAUUAGAUUUUAUGAGGUUUUCAGGCAUUAUAAGGAAUUAUAUAAUUAAAUAUGCUUGAAAAUUUUCUUUAUUCAAGUUAUAAGUAGGUUUUAUUUACAUAAUGUAAACAUAGUCAUAAAGAAUGAUAGUAUUAUUGGUACACGUUUAAUCCUCAUUAUCCCUCACUAUAUCCCUCAUUAUAAAGUAUGUACUGUGAUUAUUCCUAUUUUCUAGAUGAUGAAAUGGAGGAACUGAGAGGUUAAGUAACUUGCUUAAGGUUAUUCAGCCCAGUAGUUCAGAGACAUGAUUUAAUCUUUAGUCUGGCUCCAGAGUCUGUACCUCUAAUCGAUAUUAUGAAGUGUCAGUUUUUUGUUUACACCCUUUUAAUUCUGGUAUAUUUUGAUUUGGUUUCUUGCAUCUAUGGGACUUUUGGAUAAUGAUAACUUAUGCUUCUAUAUUUACAAAAAAUAAACAAACAUAAAACAUUACAA
RNAcentral lists this long non-coding RNA (1567 nucleotides) under Homo sapiens (human). RNAcentral's name for it is "HSALNT0045316". Lineage: Eukaryota; Metazoa; Chordata; Mammalia; Primates; Hominidae. The record is from RNAcentral.